CGCCAUUGCCAACUCGAAGUUUUACCCAAGAAGCACCUCCGUCCAAACUGCACGCUUGGACUUUGGCAACUCUCCUAGCUCGCGUAGAGGGUACGUGCUCCGUCGCUCAUCGCACUGGCGUUCCUUCAGAUCGUCACCACCCUCGCUACCGCCAGCGUGUCUCCAUGGGUGCGCCGCCUUCCUCGUUUUGUGUUUGUUGCUCUGCCUUAAGGCGAGCGUAGCGAUGCCUCUCACAGUUCGCAUCCUGGACCACAAACGAAGUUCGUGUCACCGACGCGGUAGCCUCUACACGCAAGCGUGAUGCAGGUCAAACACAGCGUGUGGCCACGUGCGUCAGAGUUUCAUUGAGGUGGUUCAUGUCUUGUUUCCGGCGAUGCCGUCUUCCCUGCUACCCAGAUGGCUGCCAUGCCACGUGCUCGCCACUGCUGUUUUCACAUGUUCUCUCUCCCCUUUUCGUAUCAAACAUUCUCUUCCCCUCAUGCCUUACCAUCGGCUGUCAG
This 500-nucleotide unclassified non-coding RNA is filed under the name Leishmania donovani. Its description in RNAcentral is "gene:unknown". The record is from RNAcentral. Lineage: Eukaryota; Euglenozoa; Kinetoplastea; Trypanosomatida; Trypanosomatidae.